GGGGCGCUAGCUCAAUGGUAGAGCAGCGGCCUUUUAAGCCGUUGGCUCAGGGUUCGAGUCCCUGGCGCCCCAC
Molecule: transfer RNA, 73 nt
Filed under: Anaeromyxobacter sp. PSR-1
Lineage: Bacteria; Pseudomonadati; Myxococcota; Myxococcia; Myxococcales; Anaeromyxobacteraceae
Description: tRNA-Lys
Rfam family: tRNA
About the family: Transfer RNA (tRNA) molecules are approximately 80 nucleotides in length.
Source: RNAcentral